UGACGUCAAAUCAUCAUGCCCUUAUGACCUGGGCUACACACGUGCUACAAUGGGCGGUACAAAGGGUCGCGAACCCGCGAGGGGGAGGCCAAUCCCAAAAAAGCCGCUCUCAGUUCGGAUUGCAGGCUGCAACUCGCCUGCAUGAAGCCGGAAUCGCUAGUAAUCGCGGAUCAGCAUGCCGCGGUGAAUACGUUCCCGGCCUU
This 203-nucleotide ribosomal RNA is filed under the name uncultured Anoxybacillus sp. Its description in RNAcentral is "partial 16S ribosomal RNA". It matches the Rfam family "Bacterial small subunit ribosomal RNA", at positions 1180 to 1381 of the family's 1533-position model. The record is from RNAcentral. Lineage: Bacteria; Bacillati; Bacillota; Bacilli; Caryophanales; Anoxybacillaceae.